This 573-nucleotide ribosomal RNA is filed under the name Pichia manshurica. Its description in RNAcentral is "partial large subunit ribosomal RNA". It matches the Rfam family "Eukaryotic large subunit ribosomal RNA", at positions 69 to 669 of the family's 3401-position model. Lineage: Eukaryota; Fungi; Ascomycota; Pichiomycetes; Pichiales; Pichiaceae. The record is from RNAcentral.
CACGGGAUGCCCAGUAGCGGCGAGUGAAGCGGCAAGAGCUCAGAUUUGAAAUCGUGUUUCGGCACGAGUUGUAGAGUGUAGGCGGGAGUCUCUGUGGAGCGCGGUGUCCAAGUCCCUUGGAACAGGGUGCCUGAGAGGGUGAGAGCCCCGUAGGGUGCUGCGCGAAGCUUUUGAGGCCCUGCUGACGAGUCGAGUUGUUUGGGAAUGCAGCUCCAAGCGGGUGGUAAAUUCCAUCUAAGGCUAAAUAUUGGCGAGAGACCGAUAGCGAACAAGUACUGUGAAGGAAAGAUGAAAAGCACUUUGAAAAGAGAGUGAAACAGCACGUGAAAUUGUUGAAAGGGAAGGGUAUUGGGCUCGACAUGGGGGGUGCGCACCGCUGUCUCUUGUAGGCGGCGCUCUGGGCGCCCUCUGGGCCAGCAUCGGUUCCUGCUGCGGGAGAAGGGGCUCCGGAAAGUGGCUCUUCGGAGUGUUAUAGCCGGGGCCAGAUGCCGCGUGUGGGGACCGAGGACUGCGGCUUCUGUCUCGGAUGCUGGCAUAACGGCGCAAUACCGCCCGUCUUGAAAAACGGACCAA